AUUGAACGCUGGCGGCAGGCCUAACACAUGCAAGUCGAACGGUAACAGGAAGAAGCUUGCUUCUUUGCUGACGAGUGGCGGACGGGUGAGUAAUGUCUGGGAAACUGCCUGAUGGAGGGGGAUAACUACUGGAAACGGUAGCUAAUACCGCAUAACGUCGCAAGACCAAAGAGGGGGACCUUCGGGCCUCUUGCCAUCGGAUGUGCCCAGAUGGGAUUAGCUAGUAGGUGGGGUAACGGCUCACCUAGGCGACGAUCCCUAGCUGGUCUGAGAGGAUGACCAGCCACACUGGAACUGAGACACGGUCCAGACUCCUACGGGAGGCAGCAGUGGGGAAUAUUGCACAAUGGGCGCAAGCCUGAUGCAGCCAUGCCGCGUGUAUGAAGAAGGCCUUCGGGUUGUAAAGUACUUUCAGCGGGGAGGAAGGGAGUAAAGUUAAUACCUUUGCUCAUUGACGUUACCCGCAGAAGAGGCACCGGCUAACUCCGU
RNAcentral lists this ribosomal RNA (489 nucleotides) under uncultured bacterium. Its description in RNAcentral is "partial 16S ribosomal RNA". It matches the Rfam family "Bacterial small subunit ribosomal RNA", at positions 30 to 506 of the family's 1533-position model. The record is from RNAcentral.